GAGACAUUCUGUUUCUCAAAGAUGAGGCCUGUCGCCCUUCCAGGAAUGUGUUCCCUGGAGCUGCCACUGGUCUUUUUCUUGCUAAAUUAGUUGAAUACAACCCUGCCUUAAAUUCCACAGGAGGAGGGGCAGGAUAGUUCCUCGGCACGGCACUUGCCUGGCAUGCAUGAGGGCCAGCACUGCAGGAAACAAAAGACUAACCUGGAGAGGCACUGUAUCAUUACAUCACCACAAGAAUGGCUGCAAGCCGGGCGUGGUGGCACAUGCCUGUAAUCCCAGCACUCAGGAG
This 289-nucleotide long non-coding RNA is filed under the name Chinchilla lanigera (long-tailed chinchilla). RNAcentral's name for it is "lncRNA (ENSCLAG00000028306.1)". Lineage: Eukaryota; Metazoa; Chordata; Mammalia; Rodentia; Chinchillidae. The record is from RNAcentral.